GAGACUUUAGAGGAGGGCGAGAAAAGGAAAACUAAACUAGGCUGAGAGAUUUCUAAGUCUAUUUAAGCGUGGUUUGAAAAGCUUUUUUACUAGGGAACUUGCCCAACUUUAUGGAGAAGCGAGAGGAAUCAAUUUGCUCUGAAUAACAGCGUGAUUUGAUGGUUUUUAUUUCUAAAAUGUAUGAGGAAACAAACAACUGUGGUUGGACAGUAACAAGAGUUUUCAAUUCUGCAUUUUACCAAGAGAAAUAAAACCUCAAGGAUGAGAACAACCAAACAAAGAACCAAAAAAAUAAAAAUAAAAAUAAAAAAAUUACACAAAAAUCAUUAAAAAUGAGUCAUCAUUUAAAAUUUUAAAAAUAAAGGUUUAAAAGGACACGCGCCGCAAAA
This 389-nucleotide long non-coding RNA is filed under the name Schizosaccharomyces pombe (fission yeast). RNAcentral describes it as "non-coding RNA, poly(A)-bearing". The record is from RNAcentral. Lineage: Eukaryota; Fungi; Ascomycota; Schizosaccharomycetes; Schizosaccharomycetales; Schizosaccharomycetaceae.